GGGCCCGUAGCUCAGCCAGGAUAGAGCGGCGGCCUCCUAAGCCGUAGGUCGUGGGUUCGAAUCCCACCGGGCCCGCCA
This 78-nucleotide transfer RNA is filed under the name Pyrobaculum arsenaticum. RNAcentral describes it as "tRNA-Arg". It matches the Rfam family "tRNA". From Rfam's summary of the family: Transfer RNA (tRNA) molecules are approximately 80 nucleotides in length. RNAcentral also lists the same sequence under 3 other names. The record is from RNAcentral. Lineage: Archaea; Thermoproteati; Thermoproteota; Thermoprotei; Thermoproteales; Thermoproteaceae.